This 305-nucleotide ribosomal RNA is filed under the name uncultured bacterium. Its description in RNAcentral is "bacterial SSU rRNA". It matches the Rfam family "Bacterial small subunit ribosomal RNA", at positions 333 to 635 of the family's 1533-position model. The record is from RNAcentral.
UAUAGCCUACGGGGGGCAGCAGUGAGGAAUAUUGGUCAAUGGGCGGGAGCCUGAACCAGCCAAGCCGCGUGAGGGAAGAAGGUACAGCGUAUCGUAAACCUCUUUUGUCAGGGAACAAAGGCGGGGACUAGUCCCCGGAUGAGGGUACCUGAAGAAAAAGCAUCGGCUAACUCCGUGCCAGCAGCCGCGGUAAUACGUAGGGGGCAAGCGUUAUCCGGAUUUACUGGGUGUAAAGGGAGCGUAGACGGCAGCACAAGUCUGGAGUGAAAUGCCGGGGCUUAACCCCGGAACUGCUUUGGAAACUG